RNAcentral lists this ribosomal RNA (441 nucleotides) under uncultured bacterium. RNAcentral's name for it is "partial 16S ribosomal RNA". It matches the Rfam family "Bacterial small subunit ribosomal RNA", at positions 339 to 795 of the family's 1533-position model. The record is from RNAcentral.
CUACGGGUGGCUGCAGUGAGGAAUCUUGGACAAUGGGCGAAAGCCUGAUCCAGCGACGCCGCGUGGGUGACGAAGGCCUUCGGGUUGUAAAGCCCUGUCAGAGGGGAAGAAGUUCUGACGGUACCCUCAGAGGAAGCACAGGCUAACUCCGUGCCAGCAGCCGCGGUAAUACGGAGUGUGCAAGCGUUGCUCGGAAUCACUGGGCGUAAAGGGCGCGUAGGCGGCUUGGUAAGUUGGAUGUGAAAGCCCUCGGCUCAACCGAGGAACUGCAUCCAAAACUGCCUGGCUAGAGUACGGAAGAGGAAGGCGGAAUUCCCAGUGUAGGGGUGAAAUCCGUAGAUAUUGGGAAGAACACCAGUGGCGAAGGCGGCCUUCUGGGACGAUACUGACGCUGAGGCGCGAAAGCGUGGGAAGCAAACAGGAUUAGAUACCCCGGUAGUC